Molecule: transfer RNA, 65 nt
Filed under: Penion cuvierianus
Lineage: Eukaryota; Metazoa; Mollusca; Gastropoda; Neogastropoda; Buccinidae
Description: tRNA-Tyr
Rfam family: tRNA
About the family: Transfer RNA (tRNA) molecules are approximately 80 nucleotides in length. Their secondary structure includes four short double-helical elements and three loops (D, anti-codon, and T loops).
Source: RNAcentral
UGUUUGGUGGCUGAGUGAGAGGCAGUAGACUGUAGAUCUAUUAACGGAGUUAAAUCUCCCCAACA